AGCAGCCGCGGUAAUUCCAGCUCCAAUAGCGUAUAUUAAAGUUGUUGCAGUUAAAAAGCUCGUAGUUGAAUUUCGGGAUCAAUAUGUCGGUCGUGCCUUCGGUACGUACUGGUAUUAUUGGUUUCUCCUUUCUGACGAACCAUGAUGUCAUUAAUUUGGUGUUAUGGGGAGUUAGGACUGUUACUUUGAAAAAUUAGAGUGUUUAAAGCAGGCUUUAGCUUGAAUACAUUAGCAUGGAAUAAUGAAAUAGGACGUUCGAACCUAUUUUGUUGGUUUCUAGGAUCAACGUAAUGAUUAAUAGGGAUAGUUGGGGGCAUUAGUAUUCAAUUGUCAGAGGUGAAAUUCUUGGAUUUAUUGAAGACUAACUACUGCGAAAGCAUUUGCCAAGGAUGUUUUCAUUAAUCAAGAACGAAAGUUAGGGGAUCGAAGACGAUCAGAUACCGUCGUAGUCUUAACCAUAAACUAUGCCGACUAGGGA
RNAcentral lists this ribosomal RNA (478 nucleotides) under uncultured Glomus. Its description in RNAcentral is "SSU rRNA". It matches the Rfam family "Eukaryotic small subunit ribosomal RNA", at positions 569 to 1052 of the family's 1831-position model. Lineage: Eukaryota; Fungi; Glomeromycota; Glomeromycetes; Glomerales; Glomeraceae. The record is from RNAcentral.